RNAcentral lists this ribosomal RNA (157 nucleotides) under Fusarium solani. RNAcentral's name for it is "5.8S ribosomal RNA". It matches the Rfam family "5.8S ribosomal RNA". Rfam says of the family: 5.8S ribosomal RNA (5.8S rRNA) is a component of the large subunit of the eukaryotic ribosome. It is transcribed by RNA polymerase I as part of the 45S precursor that also contains 18S and 28S rRNA. Lineage: Eukaryota; Fungi; Ascomycota; Sordariomycetes; Hypocreales; Nectriaceae. The record is from RNAcentral.
AAAACUUUCAACAACGGAUCUCUUGGCUCUGGCAUCGAUGAAGAACGCAGCGAAAUGCGAUAAGUAAUGUGAAUUGCAGAAUUCAGUGAAUCAUCGAAUCUUUGAACGCACAUUGCGCCCGCCAGUAUUCUGGCGGGCAUGCCUGUUCGAGCGUCAU